Mercurialis annua (annual mercury) is the source of this 883-nucleotide long non-coding RNA. RefSeq lists it as uncharacterized. The record is from RefSeq and is a predicted model, not a curated record. Lineage: Eukaryota; Viridiplantae; Streptophyta; Magnoliopsida; Malpighiales; Euphorbiaceae. The transcript is spliced from 4 exons.
AGUGAGAUUAUAAGAUAUAGGACCAAUAUUAUUUAUUUGGAGAUAACUAAUAUGGAAUUGAUCGGACCUAACAGAAUUACCGUUCGACGGACGAAAAAAGACAAAUUUUAAGUUAGAAAUCGAAGUGGUUUGAGUCAAUUUCUUUAAGGACCAAAGAGUGACUUUUGCCAUAAAUAUAUAAGGAUUUCAAAUGGAUAUUCAAUUCAGCAAAGACCAUUUGAUUCUCAGCUCCAAAUCCCGUAGCUUUCCCUUCCUCCAUGAAAGAAUAAAAACCAAACUUCAAAUCCUCAUAACUUUCUCAAUUUGGAUCGGAAUUGAGUGAUUCUUGCGGCCACGGAACGAGGAAAGGAUCCUAUACUAGAUUAUAGAUUCAAUUUGAGGUGUAAUUAAGCUUCCAUGGAGAUGUUUUGAUGGUGAAUCGGAGUUUGAAUCCUUUGGAAAUGGAGAUUCGUGAAUGGGUACGAUAAGGCGAUCUAAUAGCGGACAAGGAGUUCAGGGAGCUUACGCUAUAAUAAGAAAAGAUUUUGGAUAAGCAAGUUUGUAUGUUGCAGGUGUAUGGUCUAUGACACGACAGACUUCUACCCUUGUUCCAGAAGUCUUUAUAUGCAGGAAGAAGGAGUCAACCAAUAGUGCUGCAGUAGGAUCGAGUCCUAGCAUAUGUAUGUUUGUUUGUCAAACGAUUUUCGUGUAUGAUAUAACUCUGAUUAUAAAAGUGUUUUGAGACUUCCGCUAUAAAACUGUUUUCUUUGUUUUGAGAAUGGGCUGUGUUAGGAUGUGGGGCAUUGCAUGAUAAGACCCAAGUACCUAUGGAACGCUUUGUGUUUUGAAACAGACGUUUGUACACGUCAAAGCUCAAGAAGUUUUAAUGAAUUUGAUUUGUUUA